AAACCAACUCUCAGCAACGGAUAUCUUGGCUCUUGCAACGAUGAAGAACGCAGCGAAAUGCGAUACGUAGUGUGAAUUGCAGAAUUCCGCGAAUCAUCGAGUCUUUGAACGCAAGUUGCGCCCGAGGCUUGUCCGAGGGCAUUUCCGCUAGAGCGUCACCG
This 161-nucleotide ribosomal RNA is filed under the name Sciuro-hypnum reflexum. Its description in RNAcentral is "5.8S ribosomal RNA". It matches the Rfam family "5.8S ribosomal RNA". Rfam says of the family: 5.8S ribosomal RNA (5.8S rRNA) is a component of the large subunit of the eukaryotic ribosome. It is transcribed by RNA polymerase I as part of the 45S precursor that also contains 18S and 28S rRNA. The record is from RNAcentral. Lineage: Eukaryota; Viridiplantae; Streptophyta; Bryopsida; Hypnales; Brachytheciaceae.